This 2904-nucleotide ribosomal RNA is filed under the name Escherichia coli. RNAcentral describes it as "23S ribosomal RNA". It matches the Rfam family "Bacterial large subunit ribosomal RNA". Lineage: Bacteria; Pseudomonadati; Pseudomonadota; Gammaproteobacteria; Enterobacterales; Enterobacteriaceae. The record is from RNAcentral.
GGUUAAGCGACUAAGCGUACACGGUGGAUGCCCUGGCAGUCAGAGGCGAUGAAGGACGUGCUAAUCUGCGAUAAGCGUCGGUAAGGUGAUAUGAACCGUUAUAACCGGCGAUUUCCGAAUGGGGAAACCCAGUGUGAUUCGUCACACUAUCAUUAACUGAAUCCAUAGGUUAAUGAGGCGAACCGGGGGAACUGAAACAUCUAAGUACCCCGAGGAAAAGAAAUCAACCGAGAUUCCCCCAGUAGCGGCGAGCGAACGGGGAGCAGCCCAGAGCCUGAAUCAGUGUGUGUGUUAGUGGAAGCGUCUGGAAAGGCGCGCGAUACAGGGUGACAGCCCCGUACACAAAAAUGCACAUGCUGUGAGCUCGAUGAGUAGGGCGGGACACGUGGUAUCCUGUCUGAAUAUGGGGGGACCAUCCUCCAAGGCUAAAUACUCCUGACUGACCGAUAGUGAACCAGUACCGUGAGGGAAAGGCGAAAAGAACCCCGGCGAGGGGAGUGAAAAAGAACCUGAAACCGUGUACGUACAAGCAGUGGGAGCACGCUUAGGCGUGUGACUGCGUACCUUUUGUAUAAUGGGUCAGCGACUUAUAUUCUGUAGCAAGGUUAACCGAAUAGGGGAGCCGAAGGGAAACCGAGUCUUAACUGGGCGUUAAGUUGCAGGGUAUAGACCCGAAACCCGGUGAUCUAGCCAUGGGCAGGUUGAAGGUUGGGUAACACUAACUGGAGGACCGAACCGACUAAUGUUGAAAAAUUAGCGGAUGACUUGUGGCUGGGGGUGAAAGGCCAAUCAAACCGGGAGAUAGCUGGUUCUCCCCGAAAGCUAUUUAGGUAGCGCCUCGUGAAUUCAUCUCCGGGGGUAGAGCACUGUUUCGGCAAGGGGGUCAUCCCGACUUACCAACCCGAUGCAAACUGCGAAUACCGGAGAAUGUUAUCACGGGAGACACACGGCGGGUGCUAACGUCCGUCGUGAAGAGGGAAACAACCCAGACCGCCAGCUAAGGUCCCAAAGUCAUGGUUAAGUGGGAAACGAUGUGGGAAGGCCCAGACAGCCAGGAUGUUGGCUUAGAAGCAGCCAUCAUUUAAAGAAAGCGUAAUAGCUCACUGGUCGAGUCGGCCUGCGCGGAAGAUGUAACGGGGCUAAACCAUGCACCGAAGCUGCGGCAGCGACGCUUAUGCGUUGUUGGGUAGGGGAGCGUUCUGUAAGCCUGCGAAGGUGUGCUGUGAGGCAUGCUGGAGGUAUCAGAAGUGCGAAUGCUGACAUAAGUAACGAUAAAGCGGGUGAAAAGCCCGCUCGCCGGAAGACCAAGGGUUCCUGUCCAACGUUAAUCGGGGCAGGGUGAGUCGACCCCUAAGGCGAGGCCGAAAGGCGUAGUCGAUGGGAAACAGGUUAAUAUUCCUGUACUUGGUGUUACUGCGAAGGGGGGACGGAGAAGGCUAUGUUGGCCGGGCGACGGUUGUCCCGGUUUAAGCGUGUAGGCUGGUUUUCCAGGCAAAUCCGGAAAAUCAAGGCUGAGGCGUGAUGACGAGGCACUACGGUGCUGAAGCAACAAAUGCCCUGCUUCCAGGAAAAGCCUCUAAGCAUCAGGUAACAUCAAAUCGUACCCCAAACCGACACAGGUGGUCAGGUAGAGAAUACCAAGGCGCUUGAGAGAACUCGGGUGAAGGAACUAGGCAAAAUGGUGCCGUAACUUCGGGAGAAGGCACGCUGAUAUGUAGGUGAAGUCCCUCGCGGAUGGAGCUGAAAUCAGUCGAAGAUACCAGCUGGCUGCAACUGUUUAUUAAAAACACAGCACUGUGCAAACACGAAAGUGGACGUAUACGGUGUGACGCCUGCCCGGUGCCGGAAGGUUAAUUGAUGGGGUCAGCGCAAGCGAAGCUCUUGAUCGAAGCCCCGGUAAACGGCGGCCGUAACUAUAACGGUCCUAAGGUAGCGAAAUUCCUUGUCGGGUAAGUUCCGACCUGCACGAAUGGCGUAAUGAUGGCCAGGCUGUCUCCACCCGAGACUCAGUGAAAUUGAACUCGCUGUGAAGAUGCAGUGUACCCGCGGCAAGACGGAAAGACCCCGUGAACCUUUACUAUAGCUUGACACUGAACAUUGAGCCUUGAUGUGUAGGAUAGGUGGGAGGCUUUGAAGUGUGGACGCCAGUCUGCAUGGAGCCGACCUUGAAAUACCACCCUUUAAUGUUUGAUGUUCUAACGUUGACCCGUGAUCCGGGUUGCGGACAGUGUCUGGUGGGUAGUUUGACUGGGGCGGUCUCCUCCUAAAGAGUAACGGAGGAGCACGAAGGUUGGCUAAUCCUGGUCGGACAUCAGGAGGUUAGUGCAAUGGCAUAAGCCAGCUUGACUGCGAGCGUGACGGCGCGAGCAGGUGCGAAAGCAGGUCAUAGUGAUCCGGUGGUUCUGAAUGGAAGGGCCAUCGCUCAACGGAUAAAAGGUACUCCGGGGAUAACAGGCUGAUACCGCCCAAGAGUUCAUAUCGACGGCGGUGUUUGGCACCUCGAUGUCGGCUCAUCACAUCCUGGGGCUGAAGUAGGUCCCAAGGGUAUGGCUGUUCGCCAUUUAAAGUGGUACGCGAGCUGGGUUUAGAACGUCGUGAGACAGUUCGGUCCCUAUCUGCCGUGGGCGCUGGAGAACUGAGGGGGGCUGCUCCUAGUACGAGAGGACCGGAGUGGACGCAUCACUGGUGUUCGGGUUGUCAUGCCAAUGGCACUGCCCGGUAGCUAAAUGCGGAAGAGAUAAGUGCUGAAAGCAUCUAAGCACGAAACUUGCCCCGAGAUGAGUUCUCCCUGACUCCUUGAGAGUCCUGAAGGAACGUUGAAGACGACGACGUUGAUAGGCCGGGUGUGUAAGCGCAGCGAUGCGUUGAGCUAACCGGUACUAAUGAACCGUGAGGCUUAACCUU